This 433-nucleotide ribosomal RNA is filed under the name uncultured bacterium. RNAcentral's name for it is "partial 16S ribosomal RNA". It matches the Rfam family "Bacterial small subunit ribosomal RNA", at positions 29 to 507 of the family's 1533-position model. The record is from RNAcentral.
AACGAACGCUGGCGGCAUGCCUAACACAUGCAAGUCGAACGAGACCUUCGGGUCUAGUGGCGCACGGGUGCGUAACGCGUGGGAACCUGCCCUUAGGUUCGGAAUAACUCCCCGAAAGGGGUGCUAAUACAGGAUAAUGUCUUCGGACCAAAGAUUUAUCGCCUUUGGAUGGGCCCGCGUUGGAUUAGCUAGUUGGUAGGGUAAAAGCCUACCAAGGCGACGAUCCAUAGCUGGUCUGAGAGGAUGAUCAGCCACACUGGGACUGAGACACGGCCCAGACUCCUACGGAAGGCAGCAGUGGGGAAUAGUGGACAAUGGGCGAAGGCCUGAUCCAGCAAUGCCGCGUGAGUGAUGAAGGCCUUAGGGUUGUAAAGCUCUUUUACCCGGGAUGAUAAUGACAGUACCGGGAGAAUAAGCUCCGGCUAACUCCGUG